AACCCGUCCUCACAGAUACUUCACGCGACGCAAUACUCCCAGACUAAUGGAUCUCCCGAACACAGAUAUCCUCGAGCUGAAAGACAAGAUGAACGAGCUGAUCAACAUCAUGCAAGGUUUUGCAGUUGGUCAGAAAGCUCUAGCUGACAAAGUUGAGAAGCUCGAGCGGGCUUCAGCGGCAAAUAGUGGUGUGAACCUGGAUGGUGUCUCCAACCAGGGGCUGGGUGGUU
Molecule: long non-coding RNA, 230 nt
Filed under: Lathyrus oleraceus (garden pea)
Lineage: Eukaryota; Viridiplantae; Streptophyta; Magnoliopsida; Fabales; Fabaceae
Description: Pisum sativum (pea) long non-coding RNA (PSAT_LNC024407)
Source: RNAcentral